AUACGGAGGGUGCGAGCGUUAUCCGGAAUCAUUGGGUUUAAAGGGUCCGCAGGCGGACUGAUAAGUCAGUGGUGAAAUCCCGUAGCUUAACUACGGAACUGCCAUUGAAACUGUCAGUCUUGAAUUCGGUCGAAGUGGGCGGAAUGUGUCUUGUAGCGGUGAAAUGCAUAGAUAUGACACAGAACACCGAUAGCGAAGGCAGCUCACUAGGCCUGAAUUGACGCUCAGGGACGAAAGCGUGGGGAGCGAACAGGAUUAGAAACCCUAGUAGUCC
RNAcentral lists this ribosomal RNA (274 nucleotides) under uncultured bacterium. RNAcentral describes it as "partial 16S ribosomal RNA". It matches the Rfam family "Bacterial small subunit ribosomal RNA", at positions 523 to 796 of the family's 1533-position model. The record is from RNAcentral.